AUACGGAGGGUGCGAGCGUUAAUCGGAAUUACUGGGCGUAAAGCGUGCGUAGGCGGUUAAUUAAGUCAGAUGUGAAAGCCCUGGGCUCAACCUGGGAAUUGCAUUUGAUACUGGUUGACUUGAGUAUGGGAGAGGGAAGUGGAAUUUCCGGUGUAGCGGUGAAAUGCGUAGAUAUCGGAAGGAACACCAGUGGCGAAGGCGACUUCCUGGACCAUUACUGACGCUGAGGCACGAAAGCGUGGGGAGCAAACAGGAUUAGAAACCCUAGUAGUCC
This 274-nucleotide ribosomal RNA is filed under the name uncultured bacterium. RNAcentral describes it as "partial 16S ribosomal RNA". It matches the Rfam family "Bacterial small subunit ribosomal RNA", at positions 523 to 796 of the family's 1533-position model. The record is from RNAcentral.